RNAcentral lists this ribosomal RNA (303 nucleotides) under uncultured bacterium. Its description in RNAcentral is "partial 16S ribosomal RNA". It matches the Rfam family "Bacterial small subunit ribosomal RNA", at positions 507 to 809 of the family's 1533-position model. The record is from RNAcentral.
AGCAGUAGCCGCGGUAAUACAGAGGGUGCGAGCGUUAAUCGGAUUUACUGGGCGUAAAGCGUGCGUAGGCGGCUUCUUAAGUCGGAUGUGAAAUCCCUGAGCUUAACUUAGGAAUUGCAUUCGAUACUGGGAAGCUAGAGUAUGGGAGAGGAUGGUAGAAUUCCAGGUGUAGCGGUGAAAUGCGUAGAGAUCGGAAGGAACACCUGUGGCGAAAGCGGCUCACUGGACAAUUACUGACGCUGAUGCACGAAAGCUAGGGGAGCAAACAGGAUUAGAUACCCCUGUAGUCCCUGUCUCUUAUAA